CCCGGGGAUGGAUUCUGAGACACGAAUCCAGACCCUACGGGGUGCAGCAGGCGCGAAAACUUGGCAAUGCGAGCAAUCGUGACCAGGGAACUCCAAGUGGCUGGGGUAAUACCCAGUUUUUUCUUGACUCUUCAAAGGUCUUGGAAUAAGGGGUGGGUAAGGACGGUGCCAGCCGCCGCGGUAAUACCGGCGCCUCAAGUGGUAGUCGCUUUUAUUGGGCCUAAAACGUCCGUAGCCGGUCUGGUGCAUUCGUGGGUAAAUCAACCCGCUCAACGGGUUGAAUUCUGCGAGCACGGCCAGACUUGGGACCGGGAGAGGUGUGGGGUACUCUCAGGGUAGGGGUAAAAUCCUGUCAUCCUGAGAGGACCACCUGUUGCGAAGGCGCCACACUAGAACGGAUUCGACGGUCAGGGACGAAACCUAGGGGCACGAACCGGAUUAGAUACCCGGGUAGUCCUAGGUGUAAACGCUGUGGACUUGAUGUUGGGGGUGCUCCGAGCACUCUCAGUGUCGAAGCGAAGGUGAUAAGUCCACUGCCUGGGGAGUACGGUCGCAAGGCUGAAACUUAAAGGAAUUGGCGGGGGAGCACUGCAACCUGAGGAUUGUGCGGUUUAAUUGGACUCAACGCCGGGA
RNAcentral lists this ribosomal RNA (633 nucleotides) under uncultured Candidatus Poseidoniales archaeon. RNAcentral's name for it is "bacterial SSU rRNA". It matches the Rfam family "Archaeal small subunit ribosomal RNA", at positions 289 to 923 of the family's 1478-position model. Lineage: Archaea; Methanobacteriati; Thermoplasmatota; Candidatus Poseidoniia; Candidatus Poseidoniales. The record is from RNAcentral.